Heterocephalus glaber (naked mole-rat) is the source of this 679-nucleotide long non-coding RNA. RefSeq lists it as uncharacterized. NCBI's taxonomy places the organism in Eukaryota, Metazoa, Chordata, Mammalia, Rodentia, Bathyergidae. The record is from RefSeq and is a predicted model, not a curated record.
UCUAAGGACUAUGUGAAUAGGGGACUCCAUCCCUGUGUGAACUCCACAGACUGCAGGAACACAGACAGAGGGACAGCUGGCCACACACCUGGGCCACAAGGUGUGUCCAUGUGGCUUCUGGGCCACACUGAACAGCACAACAUGAGCAUCCCUGAGAAGAUGGUCUCUCAGCUGACAGAUGAGGAAACUUGAGGAGCUCCCCAGGGGGCUGUGGUACACAUUUACCUAUGUGCAGAAACUUCUGUGUUGCAGAGCCCCCAGCCACACAUCAACUCCCGGAAGGAGGGAUUUUCACCUUUCUUCCAGGUCAUGCAGCAGAGACAGAGGCCCUCCUCACCUGUAAAGCCCUUUAGGAACCUCCAGGAUAACUGGCUCUGCGGUAGAAGCCGAACUUGCUGAAACGGCCUGCAUCUGCCACCAUAUCAGCAAAAGGCACCCCAUCCACUCUGAAAACAGAAGACACCCCAGGCCAGCACAGCUCCAAGUGCCCAGUCUCCCAAGGGCUCUACUGUCCCUAGAGUGAGUGACGGACUUGGUCUCUGCAGACAUCUGUUUCAAAUCCACAGACUUAGUAACUCUUUGAAAAGAACAAACAAAAUUCAAUUUGCUCACAAAGAAUGUCAGACUGGGGUCCCCAGCGCUUUAUUAAAAAUGUAUAUAAAAAGACAAAGCAUUUGAA